GUGAAUCAUCAAAUUUUUGAACGCAAAUUGCACUCUCCUCGGUGAGUAUGCCUGUUUGAGGGUCAGCAUAUAAAAAAUCGACAUCGUUUCUGUUUCGAGGUGGCGUUCGUCGGAAAUUGGGUCAUCUUAAAUCUUUUGGUUUUAAGCGACUUAAACUUCCCUUUUUGGUUCGAUGAAUGUUUCUAAGAUUUAUUUCUUUACACGUUUAAGGUAUUGUUUUUUAUUAGACGUGACCUUCAUAUUGGAUCGCGCCCAUAUUCUUUCAUUAACUGACCUC
Molecule: unclassified non-coding RNA, 277 nt
Filed under: Glomus sp.
Lineage: Eukaryota; Fungi; Glomeromycota; Glomeromycetes; Glomerales; Glomeraceae
Description: partial contains 5.8S ribosomal RNA and internal transcribed spacer 2
Rfam family: 5.8S ribosomal RNA (bases 1-65)
Source: RNAcentral